This 578-nucleotide long non-coding RNA is filed under the name Homo sapiens (human). RNAcentral's name for it is "non-protein coding lnc-PAFAH1B1-3:1". The record is from RNAcentral. Lineage: Eukaryota; Metazoa; Chordata; Mammalia; Primates; Hominidae.
CAAUGAUGUGAUCUCGGCUCACUGCAACCUCCCACUCCCGGGUUCAAGCGAUUCUCCUGUCUCGGCCUCCUGAGUAGCUGGGAUUACAGGCGCCGACCACUACACCCAGGUCCUGCAGAGAGAGAAGACCACGAGAAGCAAAAAGCAGCAAGAUGACUGGAAAGAUUCAGGAAUUGGGAGCAGUGAAUAACUCAAAGUGCAGUGGAGGUUGGUGCUGAACAUCAGCAUUAGCUGACAAUUUGUAAAAGAAGCAGUUCCUGGCCAGGUGCCAUGGCUCACGCCUAUAAUCUCAGCACUUUGGGAGACCAAGGAGGGUGUAUCACGAGGUCAAGAGAUCGAGACCAUCCUGGCUAACACAGUGAAACCCUGUCUCUACGAAAAAGAACACAAAAAAUUAGCCAGGUGUGGUGGCACGGGCCUGUAGUCCCAGCUAUUCGGGAGGCUGAGGCAGGAGAAUCACUUUAACCUGAGAGGCGGAGGUUGCAGUGAGCCGAGAUCGAGUCACUGCACUCCAGCCUGGGUGACAGGGCUAGAGUCCGUCUCAUAAAUAAAAUGAAAUAAUAAAAAACAGAUGUUCA